Long non-coding RNA from Folsomia candida, 1002 nucleotides. RefSeq lists it as uncharacterized. Lineage: Eukaryota; Metazoa; Arthropoda; Collembola; Entomobryomorpha; Isotomidae. The record is from RefSeq and is a predicted model, not a curated record. The transcript has 3 exons.
GCAUUAGGUUGGUAGGCAUGCACAGUCAGUUUGCAUAAACGAUUGUGAAUCUCUAAUAAGAUGUGGACUGUGGCGAAGGAAGGUGGGAUGGAAUAAGGGAGAUGGAUAAAACAUUCAAUUAAUAAUUUCAAAUUGUGGUGGUGGCGCAGCUAUUUUUAAAAUCUGUGUCAGUUUGCAAAAGUAAGAAGAAGUGCGCUGGUGGUGGAAAUGCUUGUACACCGUCAUCAUUGUUACCAAGUCCUGCUUUUCGGUCAUUUACCUGUGUCCACCUUUCUCCUUCGACCAUUUAUCUAUCUAUAUUAAGCUAAUACCAUAUAGGAAUUUGACGCUUUAAAAAUAAUGUGAAUGUUAUACAAAAAUUGUAGCUUUUUCUUUUGCUAUGAAUAACCAAGUUGUGUUUCCCCCGACAUCUUGGUGAUGCUUACGUGCGACGGACAUUAAAUUACAAUAAAUUUUCCAUUGUGAGCUAUUGAAACAACUGAGACUAUAGUAUAGCAUCUUAUUAUGUGUUCUCAAGUUAUCUGGAAUGAGAUUUACUCCUCAAAACCCAGCUGCAACUUGUCUCACUCACUCUGAUCAGAAGAGUCAUUACAAGCCUUAUGUCAGCCAGCAUGAAUCUAGUUGACGGGAAAAUUCUUGUGUCAAAGUGAUUAUACAACUGAUGGUUGACCUUUGUAAUUUCAGUUGUGCAACACACACCCUUCAGAAUUGGAAAGAACUUGAAGCGUACCUGGAGUUUCUAUACAAGCAAGAGCUAUCGGAUCGAAAUGACCUCCAGAUGGACAUUGAUCAUGGUCUAUGUACCAAAAGGAAUUACCAGCUCCAUCAUCAACCCAAAAACACUGAUAAUAGGUCUGCAAACGGGAGAUCGUCCACGCAACUGUCAUUCGUAAGAGCUAAAACGCCAAUGCCUGGCUUAAAUUUCAACAACAUCGAAGAUGGAUCAUAGUUCAUACUUUUUGGCAAAGUGUCAUCAACAAAAACUGUGGCUAGCACAAAUGC